CUUCGGUCUUAUCUUCAACAAUGGCGAAUGGCUUGGCGUCGACCCUCCUCGUGCGCUUACUGUCAUCGUGUCUUCUCAGUUACAGAUUAUCAGUAAUGAUGAGCUGAAAGGUUGUAAGCAUCGUGUGGUGACAAAUUCGAGCGCUGCUCGCGUAUCAAUCGGGACGUUCAUCGGACCUUCCCUUGACGCUGUGGUGGAGCCUGCCGCGGCGGUGGUGAACGCCGCCGCCGCGGGAGCGGCGCCGGUGUUCUGGCCUGUUCGGUACAAGGAGUUUCUUCAACAUUACGCUUCAAACAAGACCGAGUCUGACGUCAUAGAUUUCUGCAAAAUUCAACCUUAAAGUCUGGGUUUUAAUCAUUUCAAUAACAAUGGACAAUGGCUGUUGAUCAUGUAAGGCUACUUUGUGUAAUGAAUUCUGCAGAAAUUUGAAAAUCU
Long non-coding RNA from Ipomoea nil (Japanese morning glory), 435 nucleotides. RefSeq lists it as uncharacterized. The transcript has 2 exons. NCBI's taxonomy places the organism in Eukaryota, Viridiplantae, Streptophyta, Magnoliopsida, Solanales, Convolvulaceae. The record is from RefSeq and is a predicted model, not a curated record.